This 515-nucleotide ribosomal RNA is filed under the name uncultured bacterium. RNAcentral's name for it is "partial 16S ribosomal RNA". It matches the Rfam family "Bacterial small subunit ribosomal RNA", at positions 28 to 523 of the family's 1533-position model. The record is from RNAcentral.
GAUGAACGCUGGCGGCGUGCCUAAUACAUGCAAGUCGAGCGAAUGGAUUAAGAGCUUGCUCUUAUGAAGUUAGCGGCGGACGGGUGAGUAACACGUGGGUAACCUGCCCAUAAGACUGGGAUAACUCCGGGAAACCGGGGCUAAUACCGGAUAACAUUUUGAACCGCAUGGUUCGAAAUUGAAAGGCGGCUUCGGCUCUCACUCAUGGAUGGACCCGCGUCGCAUUAGCUAGUUGGUGAGGUAACGGCUCACCAAGGCAACGAUGCGUAGCCGACCUGCGAGGGUGAUCGGCCACACUGGGACUGAGACACGGCCCAGACUCCUACGGGAGGCAGCAGUAGGGAAUCUUCCGCAAUGGACGAAAGUCUGACGGAGCAACGCCGCGUGAGUGAUGAAGGCUUUCGGGUCGUAAAACUCUGUUGUUAGGGAAGAACAAGUGCUAGUUGAAUAAGCUGGCACCUUGACGGUACCUAACCAGAAAGCCACGGCUAACUACGUGCCAGCCGCCGCCGUAA